Molecule: long non-coding RNA, 1157 nt
Filed under: Oryza sativa Indica Group (long-grained rice)
Lineage: Eukaryota; Viridiplantae; Streptophyta; Magnoliopsida; Poales; Poaceae
Also listed under: 2 other names
Description: lncRNA OsLiXu_03g0028830
Source: RNAcentral
AUAGUACUUUACGUGUGACUUAUGUUUUCUUUAGGUUUUUCAAAGAAAAAAUUAAAUAAUACGAAUGAUUAAAGUUGGACACGAAAACUCAUGGGCUCAUGGCUGCAUUUGUUUUUGAAUGGAGAGAGUAAUAAGUAAGGGCACAUUUCGAUCUGUUGUUUUAUCUUUCUUUUCUUUUUUCUUUUUUUUUUUGCAAUCUCCCUCGUGGUCGUCUGCGGACGGCCUGAACGACUUUUCCCCCGUCUACCCUCCGACCCAUCGCGCGGCGUGGCAGGCAGAUUCCAAAUUCCAACCCCAAAUCGACCCAAUCUCCGGCGCCCCGAUCACCGGGAGAUCCGGGAAAGCACCCAGAACAACCGGAGUUGCCGCCGGCGUAAAGAGGAGGAGGAGGCGGCGGCGGCGUCGGCGGCCGUGGCGAAGUCGUCGGCGUCGGCGGCGGCCGCGGCGGCUGGGGUAUCUGCGAUGAUAACCCGGUCGAAGCUGGUUGAGCAGCUGCGCGACUACCAGAUCCGAUCCCAACACAAGCGUGACAUAAUUGGAGCAGUCUCAUGGGGCUUGCUGUGUUGCUUUCUGAUAAUAUCAUCGUACAUGACGUUGUACUUCAGGCACUUCUGGCUGUCCGCUGUUAUUAUCUCACUCGGUAUUCUUCUUCCUGCUGGCCUUUACAUUUUGAGGCAGAGAAAGCUUGCUAAGAAAAGAGAGAGAAGAUUAUUGCUGCCCCUCUCCAUGUAAGAGUGUUGGUUGGUUCCCUGAUUUUCUGGUUAAUUCUAGCCAUGUAGAAUCCACAUUCUUGGCUUGCUACACACUCUUCAUUCAUGUUACUCUGCCUCAAUAUACAUCUCAUUCUUUAGUCUCUACUGAAGUGCUAGAAGAUAUAUCAUCAUUUUUUUCUGAGCUCAAUGUUGUGCGAGUAUAUAAUCUCCAAUGCUUGGUGGGUAUAGUACCAUCCGUCUCUGCUACAGUCUUUUUUUUCUUCUUCUUGGGGUUUUAUAUGCUUGCAGGGUGAGACGUGUUUGCCUUGGGCAUCACACUUUUGUAACUGAUACUGAUUGUUUUGAUACUGAAUUUGUAAGCCAUAUCCACCCUAGUUACUUGUACUCCAAUCUGUUUCUGGACUAGAAUGUGUGCAUGGAAUGAUCAGUCCCUCUUUUUCAUCC